AACGCACCUUGCGCUCCUUGGUAUUCCGAGGAGCAUGCCUGUUUGAGUGUCGUGAAAUUCCUCAACCUCCCAAACCUGGUGAGGCUUGGACUUUGGAGUGUGUCGGAACUUGUUACGAGUUCGGCUCCUCUGAAAUGCAUGAGCAAAACCUGUGGUGAAGCUUUGGUUUGAUAAUUCUUAAGCCAUUGCGGUCUGCUCGGAUUUGCUCACGACCGUCUCCCUUUCCGCAGAGAAGGAGAGGCAAAAUUUUAACACUCUGACCUCAAAUCAGGUAGGACUACCCGCUGAACUUAA
Molecule: unclassified non-coding RNA, 294 nt
Filed under: uncultured fungus
Lineage: Eukaryota; Fungi
Description: sequence contains ITS2
Rfam family: 5.8S ribosomal RNA (bases 1-52)
Source: RNAcentral